CUCCCCGAUCUUUUCUCGGUUGCCACGGUGCCACCCUUCUCUGCUUUUCAUUUGCUCCCCAGCUUUAUCGAGCUUCCACACACCCGCUGAGAAAGAAGAUUGUAGCAUUAUCUUCAUCACAUAGUAGCAAGUUGAUCUAUUGUGGAAAGGAACUUUUGUAAGUUAAAACAUUGAAAAUAGGGGAUUCCGAUGGAGGUUUGUCGAACUCACAACUGCUGAAACAUUUGGGUGCUGGUGACUACUUGUCAGUUUGGAAAGGCUACGGGCCAUAUGGGAUUGUGGGUUGAGUUAUUAUUGGUCUUCUCAUACCUAUAUAGCUGUCUGCUCUGUUCCUGGGAAAGAAAAAGGAAAAGCAAAGAGGAGUUCCAGUACAAGUUGGUGGUGAGGCAGGUUAUGCAGUUCGUUAUGCUCGAGUUAGUGAGCUGGCUGAAGCUCCUUGGGAAGGAGCCACAACCAUGGCAGCUCUAUUUGAGCAAUCUUGUAAAAAAUUAAAUCAUCAAUUACUAAUUAGUAUGACUAAUUAGUAAUUAGUAUUUAAUUAGUAUUUUACCA
Molecule: non-coding RNA, 552 nt
Organism: Corylus avellana
Lineage: Eukaryota; Viridiplantae; Streptophyta; Magnoliopsida; Fagales; Betulaceae
Source: RefSeq, a predicted model, not a curated record